Molecule: long non-coding RNA, 2474 nt
Filed under: Homo sapiens (human)
Lineage: Eukaryota; Metazoa; Chordata; Mammalia; Primates; Hominidae
Description: HSALNT0403668
Source: RNAcentral
UUUUUUUUUUGAAGAAUUGUGGUAGACUGUUCUAUAUAUAGAAGUAAACCUGAAAUCAUAAUUAUUUUUCCAAAAGGUAUUUUCUGGCAAACUUAAUUAAAUACAUUUCCCCACAAAAUUCUAGAAGUAAUUAAUAAGCAAUGACUAUUUAUAAGUACUUAAUAGAAAAUUUUAAUUUGCUAGAGGGACAGUAUACAUCCAUUAGGUAAAAGUCAUAUGUCAUAUUAAAGGUGGAGUAAGUCCUAAGUAGAAAUCAGUGGAAAGACAUUUCAGCUUUUAAGUACAGUAAGGACCAGUUGGUGGUAAUUAUAACAAAUUUAUUGGAAGAACUAUGAUAGCAAGAGAUGACCAAAAAUGGAACUGGAUAUUUAGUUUCAAGUCAUUGAAAAUAAGCAGAAACUAGAUGUUUAUGUACCAGAUUAACGGGUUUCUCUGUCAGCUUAUUAGGUGAUUUUCAAUGGAAGAAUAUGUUUGAGUUCUUAAAUAGAAACCUAAGAAAAUACUUAUUCUAGAAAUUAGAAUGUGGCUAAGAAUAAAAGGGGAAACCAAAAAUAGCAGGGACGGAAGAAGCUAAGUAGACUGCAGCAUAAGGAACGCAGAAAUUCCAACUGUGUUAGGAACUUUGAAUGUCAAUUAUUCAAGCAAGACAAUAACCACCACCCUUGGUCACAAAGUGCUGGGAUUACAGGCAUGAGCCACCACACCCAGCUUUUAGUUACUUUUUAAAAUCAAUGUGCACUUAGGUUCUAAAAUUAUGCUUAAUGCCUUUAAUUCAGUCUGAAAUUACUCUCAAUUGGUAACAUGUUAUUCUGAGAAUUUCAGGUUUAGGUAUCUUUUUUGUUGUUGUUGUGAUAAGGUCUUACUCUAUCACCCAGGCUGGAGGACAGUGGCACAAUCAUAAUCAGCUCACCACAGCCUCAAAAUCCUGAGUUCCAGUGAUUCUUCUGCCUUAACAUCCCGAAUAGCUGGGACUGUAGGCAGGUGCUGUCAUGGUUGGCUGAGAUAUAUAUCAUAUAUAUCUGAUAUGUAUAUAUCACACAUAUCAUAUGUAUAUAUCAUACAUAUGUAUAUAUCAUACAUAUCUCAUAUAUAUCAUAUAUAUCUCAUAUCAUACAUAUACAUGAUAUAUAUAUCAUACAUAUAUGUAUGAUAUAUAUUAUAUAUGAUAUAUGUAUGAUAUAUGUAUCGUAUAUAUGAUACAUAUAUCAUAUAUAUAUUAUCAAAUGUUAUAUAUAUAUUUUAUAUAUAUAUAUAUUUUUAGUUUUUGUAGACUAGGUCUCACUUUGUUGCCCAGGCUGGUCUCAAACUCCUGGCCUCAAACCUUGGCCUCCCAAAGUGCUAGGAUUACAGGCAUGAGCCACUGCCCAGUUCAGGUUUGCAGAUGGUAAUUAAGAUGUUUUCCAGCCGAGCGCAGUGGCUCACACCUAUAAUCCCAACACUUUGGGAGGCUGAGGCGGGUGGAUCAUGCAGGAGUUUGAGACCAGCCUGGCCAACGUGGUGAAACCCCGUCUCUACUAAAAGUAAAAACUUAGCCGGGCAUGGUGAUGGGCACCUGUAAUCCCAGUUACUCAGGAGGCUGAGGCAGGAGAAUUGCUUGAACCCAGGAGGCAGAGGUUGCAUUGAGCCAAGAUCGCGCCACUGCACUCUCUAGCCUGGGCAACAGAGCAAGACUCCGUCUCAAAAAGAAAAAAAAAAAAAAAGCUAAAACCUAUUUAUUUUAGAUAAAGUAAGGUGAGGUUUGUGGCGCUUUUUUUUUUAAGUUGGGAACUUAGAUUUUUGUUUAUGAAAAUUCCUGGCUGCUUGAAUGAUUCUCAUUUACAGGUUUUAGAAAAUUUCAGUGUUAAACUUUGUAUAUACUUAUGUAUCAACUACUUUAGAUUAUAAUGGCAAAGCUGGCAGGUGGGCCUAAAGCUCCUAAACCACAAGGAAAUUGGGACAGAGAUGGUUGGCAAGACACAUCUCAUAUAUAAAUAGCAAAUCAGGUGCCAAACUGACCGACUUACACCAGUGAUGCAUGCACAUAUUUUCACUUUCAGCUUUUUGAGUUAUUGAAGUGCAUGUCUUGGAAUGUUCACUAAUCUCUGUGGAUUUUAUUGCGGUUAUCCAUAAAAGCAGUAAACUUUCUCAUGCGCUGAAAGUUUACAAUUGAAUUUCUAACAAGGGAGCUAGCAAACUCUGUGCUGUAGUGUUUUAUAUGCAGUACAUAAUUAUACCAAGAAGACUGCUUAAUCUUAAAUCAUGCUAAUAGAAGCAUUCUUUUCAUUCUAAAGGUUAAGUUGAUAAGCAUACUCUUGUGUGAUUCUUUUUUAUGCAGAUCAUCAUGGCAAAACCAGCUGGUGGGCCCAAGCCUCCAAGUGGGAAGAAAGACUGGGAUGAUGACCAAAAUGAUUGAAAUUGGCUUAAUUUUUACUGUAGGUGAAGGCUGUAUUUGUAGUAGUACUCAAGAAUCACCUGAUGUUUUCUUAUUCUCCUUA